Toxorhynchites rutilus septentrionalis is the source of this 2753-nucleotide RNA transcript. It is a transcript of the gene named xenotropic and polytropic retrovirus receptor 1, with no coding region annotated. The transcript is spliced from 6 exons. NCBI's taxonomy places the organism in Eukaryota, Metazoa, Arthropoda, Insecta, Diptera, Culicidae. The record is from RefSeq and is a predicted model, not a curated record.
CCAUCGGGUUUCACCGAGACGUCAUCACUAGCGCUCGGAGCACGGCUGUGUCGAUGUCAAAAUGUGCUGAUUUUUCGCCAAUUUCACUGCGUUGUGACGCUGCUGGACACCCAAAAUGAAGUUUGCCGAACACCUGGCGGCCCACAUCACGCCGGAAUGGCGAAAGCAGUACAUUAUGUACGAGGAGAUGAAGGCUCAACUUUACGCAGCAGUUGAACAGUCUCCGUCGGCUGAAUUAGUUGAUCCCGAGGUGCUGACGCGGUACUUUGCCAAAUUCGAUGAGCAAUUCUUCCACUUUUGUGACAGCGAGCUCGCCAAAAUUAAUACGUUUUAUUCAGAAAAAUUAGCUGAAGCGACUAGAAAGUUCGCCAAUCUCCGAUCGGAACUGAGUGAAAUCCUAGAGCAUGAGGAGAACACCAAGAAGAAAAAGGACAAUCUUCAUCGGGUGAAGAAAAAUCUCCUCCGCAAGAAAAAUGUUUCUGUGCGAAAAAUCCAAGACUUGAAGCUCGCUUUCAGCGAGUUUUAUCUGAGCUUGAUCCUGUUGCAGAACUAUCAGAACCUCAAUUUCACCGGGUUCCGAAAGAUACUGAAGAAGCAUGAUAAGCUGUUGAACGUGGACUUUGGAGCAAGAUGGCGGGCGGAACACGUGGAAUCGGCACAUUUCUACGUCAACAAAGAUAUUGACCGGUUAAUCAACGAAACAGAGAAUAUCGUUACCAAUGAGAUCGAGAGUGGUGACCGGCAGCGGGCCAUGAAGCGGCUUCGGGUACCUCCGCUGGGAGAGCAACAGAGUCCAUGGACGACGUUCAAAGUUGGUUUGUUUUCCGGGUCGUUGAUUGUACUCUGCGUAGCGGUUGCCAUCUCGGCGCUGUUCAACGUGACAAGGAAUGAUUGGAUAGUAGCAUUUCGUCUGUACCGGGGACCACUUCUGAUUGUGGAGUUCCUGUUUCUCUGGGGCAUCAAUGUGUACGGUUGGAGAUCUUCCGGUGUGAAUCAUGUGUUGAUAUUUGAGUUGGAUCCCCGUAACCAUCUUUCCGAACAACAUAUCAUGGAGUUGGCAUCGAUAUUCGGUGUUAUCUGGACACUGAGUGUCCUCGGCUAUCUGUAUGCGGAUGCAUUGAGUAUUCCGGCGUAUGUAAGCCCAUUGGCACUGUAUUUACUGAUGGCAGCAUUUCUUUUCAAUCCAACAAAAACAUUCCGUCAUGAGGCACGCUUCUGGACAAUCAGAAUACUCAGCCGAAUCGUGCUAGCACCAUUUUUCUUCGUCAAUUUCGCUGAUUUCUGGCUGGCAGAUCAGUUGAAUAGUAUCGUUCCGGCAUUUCUGGACGUGCAGUAUGCCAUCUGUUUCUACUCGACGAUUACAAAUUGGAAUCACGUGGAGAAUCUUAAUGAAUGCAUUGACAGUUCGUUAUGGCUUCGACCAUUGGUGGCGAUGCUUCCGGCUUGGUUCCGAAUGGCGCAGUGUUUAAGGCGAUUCCGGGAUACUCGGGAUGCCCAUCCUCAUUUGGCGAAUGCGGUCAAAUACUCCACGUCGUUUUUUGUGGUCAUUUUUUCGUCGUUGACUCAAGUCACCAGAGGCAACUAUGCGAAGAGUACCGAUAACCCGUGGUUCUACCUAUGGAUCAUCGCUUCGAUUGUAUCAUCAUGCUACGCAUACACGUGGGAUAUCAAGAUGGAUUGGGGUUUAUUCGAUUCGAAAGCUAACGACAACAAGUUCCUGAGGGAUGAAAUCGUUUACAGUUCGAAUUGGUUUUACUAUUUCGCAAUCGUUGAGGAUCUAAUCCUACGCUUCGGCUGGACUCUGUCCAUGAGUCUGAUAGAGCUGGGCUACAUCGAUCGGGAAAUUAUUGUGUCAAUAUUGAGUCCCCUCGAGGUGUUCCGGCGCUUUAUCUGGAACUACUUCCGGUUGGAGAACGAGCAUUUAAACAAUUGUGGUAAUUUCCGCGCAGUGAGAGACAUCUCUGUAACACCGAUGGAUUGUUCAGAUCAGACAACUAUCCUGCGCAUGAUGGAUGAGGAGGAUGGAGUUCGCAACCGGCGGACUGUGAAGAAAAUUACCGGAAAGAAAAAAUCCGAACAGAGGCUGUUGCUGCGGGAGGCAGAAUCGACGGAAGAUUUGGAAAUGUAAAGCAACAAACAAAAUUGACGCAACCGGUUUGCAUGUGCUGUAUACACAUCCACAUAUACAUAUCGUAUUAGAGCUGAUUAGUGUGCCAUCUCACAAAUCAUUCUCUCUCGCUCACCCACGGCGUUGUGUCACAUUCGUGUCACGCAGGACGUGGCUUGUGAUGUGACUUGAUUAUUUGCAUUUCAACUCAUCUGUUUCGCCUUCGGGCCGAUUUCCGCUUCUCCAUACCCUAAUUGUUGUCGUUAGGUCGAUGAUACGAUUACCGGAAUCAGAAAUGCACACGACCCAGAAUAGGAAAAUCGUUUGGGAAAUAUAGGUCGCGGCCGGAGCUGGCGAAAUUGGUGACAACCGGCGAUAGAAUCCAUCAUAAUUUUUUUACCACUAUUUUCCGCUCUCACACAACCUAUGUUUCCAAAGGAAAAAAAAGUUGGUGUACAUGGGUAGUCGUAUUUGCUGUAACCGUUUAAUCUCGAAAUGCAAUCAAUGAAUCGUUGUAUAUUUACUUCGUAGGGUAGUGAAGUUUGAAAUCGCGAUGGUAGCGAAUGAUAAAUAUUGUUUAUGUCAUAAACACAUUCAGAGAACGUUUAUCGAAAAUAAAUAAAGAUGACCGAUGUAUUUAAAUACA